AUUGAACGCUGGCGGAAUGCUUUACACAUGCAAGUCGAGCGGCAGCGCGGGGGCAACCCUGGCGGCGAGCGGCGAACGGGUGAGUAACAUAUCGGAACGUACCCAGUCGUGGGGGAUAACUAUCCGAAAGGAUAGCUAAUACCGCAUACGUCCUGAGGGAGAAAGCGGGGGAGUCGCAAGACCUCGCGCGAUUGGAGCGGCCGAUAUCGGAUUAGCUAGUUGGUGGGGUAAAGGCUCACCAAGGCGACGAUCCGUAGCGGGUCUGAGAGGACGACCCGCCACACUGGAACUGAGACACGGUCCAGACUCCUACGGGAGGCAGCAGUGGGGAA
This 332-nucleotide ribosomal RNA is filed under the name uncultured bacterium. RNAcentral describes it as "bacterial SSU rRNA". It matches the Rfam family "Bacterial small subunit ribosomal RNA", at positions 29 to 361 of the family's 1533-position model. The record is from RNAcentral.